RNAcentral lists this ribosomal RNA (276 nucleotides) under uncultured prokaryote. RNAcentral's name for it is "partial 16S ribosomal RNA". It matches the Rfam family "Bacterial small subunit ribosomal RNA", at positions 524 to 801 of the family's 1533-position model. The record is from RNAcentral.
UACGUAGGGGCUAGCGUUAUCCGGAAUUACUGGGCGUAAAGGGUGCAUAGGUGGUUUCUUAAGUCAGAGGUGAAAGGCUACGGAUCAACCGUAGUAAGCCUUUGAAACUGGGAAACUUGAGUGCAGGAGAGGAGAGUGGAAUUCCUAGUGUAGCGGUGAAAUGCGUAGAUAUUAGGAGGAACACCAGUUGCGAAGGCGGCUCUCUGGACUGUAACUGACACUGAGGCACGAAAGCGUGGGGAGCAAACAGGAUUAGAUACCCCGGUAGUCCCUGAG